This 639-nucleotide ribosomal RNA is filed under the name Roussoella sp. RNAcentral describes it as "partial large subunit ribosomal RNA". It matches the Rfam family "Eukaryotic large subunit ribosomal RNA", at positions 77 to 732 of the family's 3401-position model. Lineage: Eukaryota; Fungi; Ascomycota; Dothideomycetes; Pleosporales; Thyridariaceae. The record is from RNAcentral.
GCCUCAGUAACGGCGAGUGAAGCGGCAACAGCUCAGAUUUGAAAUCUGGCCCUUUCAGGGUCCGAGUUGUAAUUUGCAGAGGGUGCUUUGGUGUCGGCCGUGGUCUAAGUUCCUUGGAACAGGACGUCACAGAGGGUGAGAAUCCCGUACGUGGCCGCCGGUCUUCACCGUGUAAAGCCCCUUCGACGAGUCGAGUUGUUUGGGAAUGCAGCUCUAAAUGGGAGAUACAUUUCUUCUAAAGCUAAAUAUUGGCCAGAGACCGAUAGCGCACAAGUAGAGUGAUCGAAAGAUGAAAAGCACUUUGGAAAGAGAGUCAAAAAGCACGUGAAAUUGUUGAAAGGGAAGCGCUUGCAGCCAGACGUGCCCGCAGUUGCUCACCUGGGCUCUCGCCCGGGGCAUUCUUCUGCGGGCAGGCCAGCAUCAGUUCGGGCGGUUGGAUAAAGGCCUCUAUCACGUAUCUUCCUUCGGGAUGACCUUAUAGGGGAGGCGCAACACGACCAGCCUGAACUGAGGACCGCGCAUCAGCUAGGAUGCUGGCGUAAUGGCUGUAAGCGGCCCGUCUUGAAACACGGACCAAGGAGUCUAACAUCUAUGCGAGUGUUUGGGUGUAAAGCCCGGGCGCGCAAUGAAAGUGAACGG